GCUAAGACUGGAUAGGAAAUAAAAAGGCAUCUUUUUAUUUUUAAAAGACCUUUUUCGGAAGGUAUGCUUAAAGAUGAGCUUGCGCCACAUUAGUUUGUUGGUGGGGUAAUGGCCUACCAAGACGAUGAUGUGUAGCUGGACUGAGAGGUCGAACAGCCACAUUGGGACUGAGACACGGCCCAAACUCCUACGGGAGGCAGCAGUAGGGAAUUUUCGGCAAUGGAGGAAACUCUGACCGAGCAACGCCGCGUGAACGAUGAAGUAUUUCGGUAUGUAAAGUUCUUUUAUUGAAGAAGAAAAAAUAGUGGAAAAACUAUCUUGACGUUAUUCAAUGAAUAAGCCCCGGCUAACUAUGUGCCAGCAGCCGCGGUAAGACAUAGGGGGCGAGCGUUAUCCGGAAUUAUUGGGCGUAAAGGGUGCGUAGGCGGUUAGGAAAGUCUAUAAUUUAAUUUCAGUGCUUAACGCUGUCUUGUUAUAGAAACUACCUUGACUAGAGUUAGAUAGAGGCAAGCGGAAUUCCAUGUGUAGCGGUAAAAUGUGUAAAUAUAUGGAGGAACACCAGAAGCGUAGGCGGCUUGCUGGGUCUUGACUGACGCUGAGGCACGAAAGCGUGGGUAGCAAACAGGAUUAGAUACCCUGGUAGUCCACGCCGUAAACGAUGAGUACUAAGUGUCGGGAUAAAACUCGGUACUGAAGUUAACACAUUAAGUACUCCGCCUGAGUAGUACGUACGCAAGUAUGAAACUUAAAGGAAUUGACGGGACUCCGCACAAGCGGUGGAUCAUGUUGUUUAAUUCGAAGAUACACGAAAAAUCUUACCAGGUCUUGACAUGCUCUGCAAAGCUAUAGAAAUAUAGUGGAGGUUAUCAGGGACACAGGUGGUGCAUGGUUGUCGUCAGUUCGUGUCGUGAGAUGUUAGGUUAAGUCCUAAAACGAGCGCAACCCUUGUCGUUAGUUACCAGCACGUAAUGGUGGGCACUUUAACGAGACUGCCAAUUAAACAUUGGAGGAAGGUGAGGAUUACGUCAAAUCAUCAUGCCCCCUAUGAUCUGGGCUACAAACGUGAUACAACGGCUGUUACAAAGAGUAGCUGAAGCGCGAGUUUUUAGCCAAUCUCAAAAAAGCAGUCUCAGUUCGGAUUGAAGUCUGUAACUCGACUUCAUGAAGUUGGAAUCGCUAGUAAUCGCGAAUCAGCAUGUCGCGGUGAAUACGUUCUCGGGGUUUGUACACACCGCCCGUCAA
Molecule: ribosomal RNA, 1242 nt
Filed under: Candidatus Phytoplasma fraxini
Lineage: Bacteria; Bacillati; Mycoplasmatota; Mollicutes; Acholeplasmatales; Acholeplasmataceae
Description: bacterial SSU rRNA
Rfam family: Bacterial small subunit ribosomal RNA
Source: RNAcentral